AGCAGAGGGUAUAUAUCUGUUACUGCUAAUAAUGGUUUGGGUAAAAGCUUACUCUGCCC
This 59-nucleotide transfer RNA is filed under the name Microcotyle sebastis. RNAcentral describes it as "tRNA-Ser". Lineage: Eukaryota; Metazoa; Platyhelminthes; Monogenea; Mazocraeidea; Microcotylidae. The record is from RNAcentral.